AUCAGGGGGGCUGCGUACCGUAAAAGUGAAAAAACUUGAGUUUAAGAUUUGGAAUUGAAAAGAGAAUAAGAUCUUAUUAGGGUAAAAUCUUAAAUUGGGGAAUUUCUCGGAAUGGAAAUUUCUGAAAGCUCUAAAGUGAGAGGAGAUACCUUGAGGAAAAAAAGAGGUAGUAGUAGAUGACUUGAAACUUAAAGAAUUUGGCGGUAUUUUAAUACCAGAGGAAUUUGUGUUAUUCGAAACUACUCGUUUUAUCUUACUUAAAUUUUGUUUGUAUAUCGUCGUAAAAACAAAACUAAGUAAAUGUUUGGAAAUAUUUGAAAAAUUACAGAUCAAGGUGCAUAUAGAAAACAUGAGCAAUUUAGAGAAAAAGACGGAUAUUUUUCUGAAAAGAGAAAUUGAAGGUGGAUUUGGAAGUAGGUUAAA
This 423-nucleotide ribosomal RNA is filed under the name Odontobuthus doriae. RNAcentral describes it as "partial 12S ribosomal RNA". The record is from RNAcentral. Lineage: Eukaryota; Metazoa; Arthropoda; Arachnida; Scorpiones; Buthidae.